RNAcentral lists this ribosomal RNA (274 nucleotides) under Tricoma sp. MKL1. Its description in RNAcentral is "partial 28S ribosomal RNA". It matches the Rfam family "Eukaryotic large subunit ribosomal RNA", at positions 666 to 944 of the family's 3401-position model. The record is from RNAcentral. Lineage: Eukaryota; Metazoa; Nematoda; Chromadorea; Desmoscolecida; Desmoscolecidae.
CCAAGGAGUCUAACAUGYUUGCGAGUAUUUGGGUGUCAAACCCGGAUGCGUAAUGAAAGUGAAUGKAGGUGGGARCCGCAAGGUGCAYCAUCGACCGAUCUGGAUKUUUWMGGAUGGAUUUGAGUAAGAGCAURUAUGUUGGGACCCGAAAGAUGGUGAACUAUGCCUGAAUAGGGUGAAGCCAGAGGAAACUCUGGUGGAGGCUCGUASCGGUUCUGACGUGCAAAUCGAUCGUCAAAUUUGGGUAUAGGGGCGAAAGACUAAUCGAACCAUC